AGUGAACGCUGGCGGUAGGCCUAACACAUGCAAGUCGAACGGCAGCACAGUAAGAGCUUGCUCUUACGGGUGGCGAGUGGCGGACGGGUGAGGAAUACAUCGGAAUCUACUUUUUCGUGGGGGAUAACGUAGGGAAACUUACGCUAAUACCGCAUACGACCUACGGGUGAAAGCAGGGGAUCUUCGGACCUUGCGCGAUUGAAUGAGCCGAUGUCGGAUUAGCUAGUUGGCGGGGUAAAGGCCCACCAAGGCGACGAUCCGUAGCUGGUCUGAGAGGAUGAUCAGCCACACUGGAACUGAGACACGGUCCAGACUCCUACGGGAGGCAGCAGUGGGGAAUAUUGGACAAUGGGCGCAAGCCUGAUCCAGCCAUACCGCGUGGGUGAAGAAGGCCUUCGGGUUCUAAAGCCCUUUUGUUGGGAAAGAAAAGCAGCAGGUUAAUACCCCGCUGUUCUGACGGUACCCAAAGAAUAAGCACCGGCUAACUUCGUG
This 492-nucleotide ribosomal RNA is filed under the name uncultured bacterium. RNAcentral's name for it is "partial 16S ribosomal RNA". It matches the Rfam family "Bacterial small subunit ribosomal RNA", at positions 29 to 507 of the family's 1533-position model. The record is from RNAcentral.